RNAcentral lists this small RNA (398 nucleotides) under bovine gut metagenome. Its description in RNAcentral is "transfer-messenger RNA". It matches the Rfam family "transfer-messenger RNA". From Rfam's summary of the family: Bacterial tmRNA, also known as 10Sa RNA or SsrA, is named for its dual tRNA and mRNA-like properties. Its role is to liberate the mRNA from a stalled ribosome. The record is from RNAcentral.
GGGGACGUUUUGGAUUAGACAGGACGUUUGGUAGGAAUAUAUGGCGUGUCGGAGAGCUGUUCUCCGUUAUCAACGGGCAAACUAAAUUAAAUGCUAACAAUGUAAUUGAAGCAGAUUUCGCUCCUGCAUAUGCAGUUGCAGCAUAGUUUCUGCUAUUUAGCUACUCAUAGAGUCCAGCUUGCCGAUUUUAUGGGUCAAUUAUGCAAGCGGCAGUGCGCCGAUGCAAAGUAAGCGCAUCAAGAUAACUUUGCAAGGUUUAGAGUUUCCUUUAAAUAAAACCUGGGAUUGAUUCGUAUGGUUUAGACUUUUUCCUGAAUCAAUUGAGCAAAAAACAGUCUACACAUGUAGAAGUAUAUUUUUAUCCGUUUUGGACGUGGGUUCGACUCCCACCGUCUCCA